This 224-nucleotide unclassified non-coding RNA is filed under the name rhizosphere metagenome. Its description in RNAcentral is "partial ribosomal RNA internal transcribed spacer region". The record is from RNAcentral.
GAAUUGUCAAACGGGUUGUUGCUGGCCCUCAUAGGGGGCAUGUGCACGCUCUGUUUACACAUCCACUCACACCUGUGCACCCUCUGUAGUUCUAUGGUCUGGGGGACCCUGUCUUCCUUCUGUGGUUCUACGUCUCUACACACACACUGUAAUAAAGUUUUAUGGAAUGUACAUCGCGUCUAACGCAAUACAAUACAACUUUCAGCAACGGAUCUCUUGGCUCU